UAUUAUUUUUGAUGUUAAUUAUUUAACCUGAGUAGUAAUAGAUAUGGUCUUGAAACUUAAAGAAUUUGGCAGUAUUUUAUUCUGUUCAGAGGAACCUGUUCUUUUAUCGAUAAUCCUCGUUGGACCUUACUUAAUUUAUUGAUUUGUAUACCGCCGUUGUAUUGAGAAUCAUUAUAGUGUUUAUAAUUUUCUAGUUUUUAUUUUAGGUUAUUUCAGGUCAAGGUGCAAUUUAUGAUUAAGUAGUAAUGGGUUACUUUUUUAUUUAUUUUGGAUUAUUGAGUGAAAUUUUGAUAUGAAAUUGGAUUUGAAUGUAAUUUUUAUUUUAGAUUGUGUAGAUGAAUUAGUUUCUGGAAUGUGUACACAUCGCCCGUCGCUCUCGUUAUUUAUUCGAG
RNAcentral lists this ribosomal RNA (392 nucleotides) under Cryptocercus meridianus. RNAcentral's name for it is "partial 12S small subunit ribosomal RNA". Lineage: Eukaryota; Metazoa; Arthropoda; Insecta; Blattodea; Cryptocercidae. The record is from RNAcentral.